UGGGGAAUUUUGGACAAUGGGCGAAAGCCUGAUCCAGCAAUGCCGCGUGUGUGAAGAAGGCCUUCGGGUUGUAAAGCACUUUUGUCCGGAAAGAAAUCCUUGGCUCUAAUACAGUCGGGGGAUGACGGUACCGGAAGAAUAAGCACCGGCUAACUACGUGCCAGCAGCCGCGGUAAUACGUAGGGUGCAAGCGUUAAUCGGAAUUACUGGGCGUAAAGCGUGCGCAGGCGGUUUGCUAAGACCGAUGUGAAAUCCCCGGGCUCAACCUGGGAACUGCAUUGGUGACUGGCAGGCUAGAGUAUGGCAGAGGGGGGUAGAAUUCCACGUGUAGCAGUGAAAUGCGUAGAGAUGUGGAGGAAUACCGAUGGCGAAGGCAGCCCCCUGGGCCAAUACUGACGCUCAUGCACGUAAAGCGUGGGGAGCAAACAGGAUUAGAUACCCUGGUAGUCCACGCCCUAAACGAUGUCAACUAGUUGUGGGGAUUCAUUCCUUAGUAACGUAGCUAACGCGUGAAGUUGACCGCCUGGGGAGUACGGUCGCAAGAUUAAAACUUAAAUGAAUUGACGGGGUCAUAGCUGUUUCCU
This 584-nucleotide ribosomal RNA is filed under the name uncultured bacterium. Its description in RNAcentral is "partial 16S ribosomal RNA". It matches the Rfam family "Bacterial small subunit ribosomal RNA", at positions 355 to 1375 of the family's 1533-position model. The record is from RNAcentral.